CCUACGGGAGGCAGCAGUGGGGAAUUUUGCGCAAUGGGGGAAACCCUGACGCAGCAACGCCGCGCGAGUGAUGAAGGCCUUCGGGUUGUAAAGCUCUUUGAGUGGGGACGAAGCCCCACGGGACGAAUAAUCCCGUGGUCUGACGGUACCCACAGAACAAGUUCCGGCUAACUACGUGCCAGCAGCCGCGGUAAUACGUAGGGAGCAAGCGUUGUUCGGAAUUAUUGGGCGUAAAGAGCGCGUAGGCUGUUCGGUAAGUCCGAUGUGAAAGCCCAUGGCUUAACCGUGGAACUGCAUUGGAAACUGCCGGGCUGGAGUGCGGGAGAGGAGAGUGGAAUUCCCAGUGUAGAGGUGAAAUUCGUAGAUAUUGGGAGGAACACCGGUGGCGAAGGCGGCUCUCUGGACCGCAACUGACGCUGAGACGCGAAAGCGUGGGGAGCAAACAGGAUUAGAUACCCUGGUAGUCCACGCUGUAAACUGUGAGAACUAGGUGUAGGGGGUACCGACCCCCCCUGUGCCGCAGCUAACGCAUUAAGUUCUCCGCCUGGGGACUACGGCCGCAAGGUUAAAACUCAAAGGAAUUGACGG
Molecule: ribosomal RNA, 588 nt
Filed under: uncultured bacterium
Lineage: Bacteria
Description: bacterial SSU rRNA
Rfam family: Bacterial small subunit ribosomal RNA
Source: RNAcentral